RNAcentral lists this ribosomal RNA (228 nucleotides) under uncultured Streptococcaceae bacterium. Its description in RNAcentral is "partial 16S ribosomal RNA". It matches the Rfam family "Bacterial small subunit ribosomal RNA", at positions 111 to 334 of the family's 1533-position model. The record is from RNAcentral. Lineage: Bacteria; Bacillati; Bacillota; Bacilli; Lactobacillales; Streptococcaceae.
UAACGCGUAGGUAACCUGCCUUGUAGCGGGGGAUAACUAUUGGAAACGAUAGCUAAUACCGCAUAACAAUGGAUGACACAUGUCAUUUAUUUGAAAGGGGCAAUUGCUCCACUACAAGAUGGACCUGCGUUGUAUUAGCUAGUUGGUGAGGUAACGGCUCACCAAGGCGACGAUACAUAGCCGACCUGAGAGGGUGAUCGGCCACACUGGGACUGAGACACGGCCCAG